UACAGAGGGGGCGAGCGUUGUUCGGAAUUACUGGGCGUAAAGGGCGCGUAGGCGGCCUGCUAAGUCGGACGUGAAAUCCCCUGGCUCAACCAGGGAACUGCGUCCGAUACUGGCGGGCUUGAAUCCGGGAGAGGGAUGCGGAAUUCCAGGUGUAGCGGUGAAAUGCGUAGAUAUCUGGAGGAACACCGGUGGCGAAGGCGGCAUCCUGGACCGGUAUUGACGCUGAGGCGCGAAAGCCAGGGGAGCAAACGGG
Molecule: ribosomal RNA, 253 nt
Filed under: uncultured bacterium
Lineage: Bacteria
Description: partial 16S ribosomal RNA
Rfam family: Bacterial small subunit ribosomal RNA
Source: RNAcentral